RNAcentral lists this long non-coding RNA (195 nucleotides) under Fukomys damarensis (Damara mole-rat). Its description in RNAcentral is "lncRNA (ENSFDAG00000027451.1)". Lineage: Eukaryota; Metazoa; Chordata; Mammalia; Rodentia; Bathyergidae. The record is from RNAcentral.
AAGAGAUGGAAGGUUUGGAUGAAAGCUUGUUAAUGUUCUAAUCUAAUGAAAUUUGAGAGGAAAAGUGUCACCUGGAAGGAAAAGCAGAGGAUACAAUAUCAAUCCAGAAACCACUACAGAAGACUGCAGCUUGAUGUAAGUCACAAGGACAGAGAGCCAGAUGUACAAGAACAUUUAUCUAACACACCAUCUCCA